Molecule: ribosomal RNA, 510 nt
Filed under: uncultured bacterium
Lineage: Bacteria
Description: partial 16S ribosomal RNA
Rfam family: Bacterial small subunit ribosomal RNA
Source: RNAcentral
GACGAACGCUGGCGGCGUGCUUAACACAUGCCAGUCGAACGAAGAGCGACGGAAGCUUGCUUCUAUCAAUCUUAGUGGCGAACGGGUGAGUAACGCGUAAUCAACCUGCCCUUCAGAGGGGGACAACAGUUGGAAACGACUGCUAAUACCGCAUACGAUCUAACCUCGGCAUCGAGGAUAGAUGAAAGGUGGCCUCUACAUGUAAGCUAUCACUGAAGGAGGGGAUUGCGUCUGAUUAGCUAGUUGGAGGGGUAACGGCCCACCAAGGCGAUGAUCAGUAGCCGGUCUGAGAGGAUGAACAGCUACAUUGGGACGGAGACACGGCCCAGACUCCUACGGGAGGCAGCAGUGGGGAAUCUUCCGCAAUGGACGAAAGUCUGACGGAGCAACGCCGCGUGAGUGAUGACGGCCUUCGGGUUGUAAAGCUCUGUUAAUCGGGACGAAAGGCCUUCUUGCGAAUAGUGAGAAGGAUUGACGGUACCGGAAUAGAAAGCCACGGCUAACUACGUG